AGUGAACGCUGGCGGUAGACCUAACACAUGCAAGUCGAACGGCAGCACAGUAAGAGCUUGCUCUUACGGGUGGCGAGUGGCGGACGGGUGAGGAAUACAUCGGAAUCUACUUUUUCGUGGGGGAUAACGUAGGGAAACUUACGCUAAUACCGCAUACGACCUACGGGUGAAAGCAGGGGAUCUUCGGACCUCGCGCGAUUGAAUGAGCCGAUGUCGGAUUAGCUAGUUGGCGGGGUAAAGGCCCACCAAGGCGACGAUCCGUAGCUGGUCUGAGAGGAUGAUCAGCCACACUGGAACUGAGACACGGUCCAGACUCCUACGGGAGGCAGCAGUGGGGAAUAUUGGACAAUGGGCGCAAGCCUGAUCCAGCCAUACCGCGUGGGUGAAGAAGGCCUUCGGGUUGUAAAGCCCUUUUGUUGGGAAAGAAAAGCAGCAGGUUAAUACCCCGCUGUUCUGACGGUACCCAAAGAAUAAGCACCGGCUAACCUCG
RNAcentral lists this ribosomal RNA (490 nucleotides) under uncultured bacterium. Its description in RNAcentral is "partial 16S ribosomal RNA". It matches the Rfam family "Bacterial small subunit ribosomal RNA", at positions 29 to 505 of the family's 1533-position model. The record is from RNAcentral.